Small nucleolar RNA from Meriones unguiculatus (Mongolian gerbil), 144 nucleotides. RefSeq annotates it as small nucleolar RNA SNORA48. The transcript has a single exon. The record is from RefSeq and is a predicted model, not a curated record. NCBI's taxonomy places the organism in Eukaryota, Metazoa, Chordata, Mammalia, Rodentia, Muridae.
AGCCCCGUGGCAAAGGCAGAGAGACACCAUGUUGGUGGUGGUGUUCUUACAUCAGUCAGGGGCAGAGCAGAUGGCAGUCCUCUGUUCAUCCUUGCUUGAUGCCUGGCUUGGUGGCCAAAGCCAUUUUAUGUCUAGUACACAUAA